Molecule: long non-coding RNA, 2051 nt
Organism: Choloepus didactylus (southern two-toed sloth)
Lineage: Eukaryota; Metazoa; Chordata; Mammalia; Pilosa; Megalonychidae
Exons: 10
Source: RefSeq, a predicted model, not a curated record
AAUGAAUGGUGGAGGUAGUGAUGUACCCAGAAAUCAGAGACUACAGGAAGUAGUCCUAACUCUGCCCAUUCGGUCACUGAAGGAGACUGUGGUCUUGUGUGUUCCUACCACAGGAGCCUGUGUUGUAAGACUCUGCUUGAAUCUGCUGUUACUAUUGUUGGGAGAAUAAUAAACAAAUCGACUCUAUCAUCUUCUAAUCUCAUACAAGAACCUCUCAGUGAAAGAAUCUGAACCUAGAAUCCUGCUGGCAAUGGACUCUGAGAAAUGUAGUUUCUGUGCUUCUAGCCCCUUCGGUACAGGAGCUGUGGAGUCCAACUGUGACUGCCAAGAAGGAUCCAAAAAGCCAGAAAGCCCGAACAUGUCAGACCUUCCUGCCACCCGCCCCACACACUUCAAACCCAGAGGAAAUGAGUGAGGAUCGACGGCAGGAAGCGAGCCAACCAGGUGAGGAAAUUGAAGUUUCAUUCAAGAGCAGAUAGUUGGUGAAAGAAAGAAGAAAGAGAACAGCCUCCAGCUCAGAUCCCUCUUUCUAUGCUCAGGAACCACCAGAAAUGCUACUGUAUUGGACCUCAUCUUGUUUCCCUCUGGAAAAUGCAUGUGUGCUCUGUUUGCAAUGGAAUUGUUAUUUUAAUGAAUGUGCUACAUUCUGCUGGGGAACCAUUUCUGGAGUCUUUGCAGAGGAUUCAGUGUCCAUCACCAAUAUUUUUUGGAAUCCUGGCCUGAAGUCUCUUCUGUCAUCCCAAAGAUUAAAAAAAGGAUUAAAGCCACAGCAGGAGCCUCACCUCUCCGGCACUCCAUCAGUUUGGAGGACCUGCUUCCAUGUUUCCACUAUUGAUGGGGAAUUAGUGGCAGUGCUUUUCUUUCCAAUGUUACUAUUCCAUCAGAAGACUAGCCCAGAACCCCAUAAGGGGCUCCUGGAUAAAAUUCACCUUGACACUACUGACAAUUUGCCCAAUUCUGUCAUUGACAUUUGUAGCCCUCUGGAUCGAUUCCCUUCCUUCUUUGAAGAAUUUAAUACUUGCUUCACCAUCUCUCCCUCAAAUGUUACCUUGUUGAUAAUUCUUAAUGAUUAAAUAUCCACAUUGUGCAACCAGAAGUGCUCACCAAAUAUUCCAGGCACUGCCUACACUUGGUGCAGAUGCCACCUGUUAAGAUGCAGCGCCAAUAAUGGAAAGCAGCCUGGAUCCCUAAGUCACUGAAUGGAGAGUGUAGGCUUAUAGAAUCCCUGAGCUGCAAUUUUGCAGGCAUUAGAAAUUGGACUCUCCAAAUUGUAUAAGAUUGGGCCCCACAAAACCUGGAUCUGCCUCUGUCUCUAAGCAUAAUUUUACUUGAACAUGUCCCAUCAUAUUGCUGAAUCCCAAACAAAGAGCUCUUUGAUAAGGGAAUACAAGAAUGAAUUAAAGAAUGUCUUAGAACUAAUCCAAGGAAGAACACUCAAAUUCCUACUUGCAGAGGACGCAAAUGCUGAAUCAGAUGGGGCUGUGGAGCCUGGGGAGGAAAUCGUGAAUAGUUGGUCCAGAUUGAGUAUCAUUAUCCUCCUGUUGUCUAGGAAGAUAAUUGUUAUAAUUAGCAAUAAAUGUCAAGGGCAACUAUAAUUUACCUUUCCGUGUCACAACUGAUAGUUUACCUUUUUCAAUGCCUUCUUCUACCUGCCCACCAUGUCACACUUCCCACCCUUCUAGCACAGUCAAACAUAGACUAAAAUAUCUGUCUUAUAGUAUUUCUAUAUCAGUGUAUACUUACAGCAAUAAUGUGACUAUUGAUUUUUAAAAUGUCAUUAGGGACCACUCAUCCAAAUUCUGGGGUCUUUUAUUAAAAUGAAAAUUCCUACAAGGAGGAGCUAGAACCUAUGGGUUUGCAUAAUGGGCAUGUUGGAGGGAUUCUUAGAGAUGUUUUAGGACUAUAUCUUAUUAGAGAAAUUCUAAAUGUAGUGCAAAGGGGGGUUUAUUAUUCUGUAGCACAAUUCCUUUUAAAUGCAAUUUAAUAUCCCUUGGAUUUUAUUUGUGGUAUAAUUUUGAAAAUUCCAUUUUGAAUUUAUGAUUAUAAUUCAG